This 430-nucleotide ribosomal RNA is filed under the name uncultured Acidobacteriota bacterium. RNAcentral's name for it is "bacterial SSU rRNA". It matches the Rfam family "Bacterial small subunit ribosomal RNA", at positions 355 to 776 of the family's 1533-position model. The record is from RNAcentral. Lineage: Bacteria; Pseudomonadati; Acidobacteriota.
UGGGGAAUUUUUCGCAAUGGGGGCAACCCUGACGAAGCAACGCCGCGUGGAGGAUGAAGGCCUUCGGGUCGUAAACUCCUGUCGACCGGGACGAAAGUAGCUCGACCUAAUACGUCGAGCGAUUGACUGUACCGGUGGAGGAAGCCACGGCUAACUCUGUGCCAGCAGCCGCGGUAAUACAGAGGUGGCAAGCGUUGUUCGGAAUUACUGGGCGUAAAGGGCGCGCAGGCGGCCCGCUAAGUUCCGUGUGAAAUCCCUUGGCUCAACCGAGGAACCGCACGGAAAACUGGCAGGCUUGAGUUCGGGAGAGGGAAGUGGAAUUCCGGGUGUAGCGGUGAAAUGCGUAGAUAUCCGGAGGAACACCGGUGGCGAAGGCGGCUUCCUGGACCGACACUGACGCUGAGGCGCGAAAGCUAGGGGAGCAAACGGG